Molecule: long non-coding RNA, 673 nt
Organism: Tripterygium wilfordii
Lineage: Eukaryota; Viridiplantae; Streptophyta; Magnoliopsida; Celastrales; Celastraceae
Exons: 2
Source: RefSeq, a predicted model, not a curated record
CUUAACCCUUGUAAAGCGCACAGCUUUCUUCGCCUCCUGGUUUUCUACGUCCUCUGACGGCGCAGGUGGCAAGGGAAUGAUCAAAGAAACAUAGUGACCUGGAUUCAUCUUCAUAACCUCACUAGCCAUAACAGACCAAGUUGAAAUGAAAGGAUGAUAGAGAUAAGGAGGAGUAGGAGUGAAGGAAGGAUGGAGAGGGUGAAGUAAGCAGCAGUCUCUUUCUGUACAGCUCCAGCAGCAGGCCUUUGUCUCGUUUCCCAACUAACUAAUUCUACAUGGUGUGUGGGUCAAGUUUAAAAUCAAAGUUGACAUUUAAAGACGGCAAUGUAUUUAUAUAAUUGCUUUAGGACAUCAAUUUAAUUAGGUAUGCAUUGUUAAUUCAUCAUCGGAGCUUGGGAGCUGGUGGGGGUGCCACGUGGAGAAAUGUCAGGUGGAGGGAGCAUGGAGAUCCAGUUUGCUACAGUAGCUUGUAGCUUUACCUGAGGAGUUAAGGACUCUGCUGUGGAAGUCACUCCAGUGACCGUGCAGUUUCAAUCACAGGCAUCCACUAUAUUUAUCACUGUGGGGUUCAAUAUGUUUUUUUACUUUAGUAAUCACAUUGGACGAUCUUGAUUGAAACUGUAAAAAAAAAUGCAUAAUAUCUUAUUGUGGGGCCAUGUCCAUUUUGGAGCUA